CGGUGUUUAAUCACACCUUCCCUUCGGGGCUGAGGUGACAGGUGGUGCAUGGUUGUCGUCAGCUCGUGUCGUGAGAUGUUGGGUUAAGUCCCGCAACGAGCGCAACCCUUGUCUUUAGUUGCCAGCAUUCAGUUGGGCACUCUAGAGAGACUGCCAGGGAUAACCUGGAGGAAGGUGGGGAUGACGUCAAAUCAUCAUGCCCCUUAUGCUUAGGGCUACACACGUGCUACAAUGGGUGGUACAGAGGGUUGCCAAACCGUGAGGUGGAGCUAAUCCCUUAAAGCCAUUCUCAGUUCGGAUUGUAGGCUGAAACUCGCCUACAUGAAGCUGGAGUUACUAGUAAUCGCAGAUCAGAAUGCUGCGGUGAAUGCGUUCCCGGGUCUUGUACACACCG
Molecule: ribosomal RNA, 394 nt
Filed under: Peptostreptococcus anaerobius
Lineage: Bacteria; Bacillati; Bacillota; Clostridia; Peptostreptococcales; Peptostreptococcaceae
Description: bacterial SSU rRNA
Rfam family: Bacterial small subunit ribosomal RNA
Source: RNAcentral